CUCUCUCUCUCUCUCUCUCUCUCUCUCUCUCUCUCUCUCUCUCUCUCUCUCUCUCUCUCUCUCUCUCUCUCUCUCUCUCUCGGCAUCAUGGGGGCUGGAGUCCAGGGCUUUGGCUGUACUGUAGUUGUCAUGACAGUAUCUUUGGUUGUUGUGACUCUUUAUUUAACAAGGCAAGUCAGUUAAGAACACAUUCUUAUUUACAAUAACGGCCAAACCAGGACGACGCUCGGCCAAAUCAUGCCCCCCCCUAUGGGACUCCCAAUCACAGCCGGAUGUGAUACAGCCUGGAUUCGAACCAGGGACUGUAGUGACACCUCUUCGCAACGGAGAUGCAGUGCCUUAGACCACUUUUUUGUUGUUGUUGAUGUUGUUGCAUAUAUAUAGUGUAUAAAAAAUGUUUCCUAUGGCCAGGACAGUGCAAUAAACACAUUUCCACACACACACACACACACACACACACACAGAGACACACACAUCCAGCUGCAAUAACAACUGUAUAGGACGGCUGUGUGGAGAAAAAGGCCCAGAGAAGAAUCAGAGAAAUCCCUCAUUUCUACAGUUUAGACCAGGAGAAGAGCCCUCUGGGAGACUCAUCAGUGUUCUGAUAGAGCCAGUGGAUGAGGGAGUAGAGGGGAGGACGUCGCUGUCCCUUGCCCCAGUCUGGGCCCCUCUCUCUGGGGUACGUUACCCAGCCUUUGCCCCUCUCUGGCGGGGACAUCCACUCUCUGUCCGUCUGCCUGUCCGUCUCCCUGCCCGUCUCCCUGCCCGUCUCCCUGUCCGUCUCCCUGUCCGUCUCCCUGCCCGUCUCCCUGCCCGUCUCCCUGUCCGUCUCCCUGUCCGUCUCCCUGUCCGUCUCCCUGCCCGUCUCCCUGCCCAUCUCCCUGCCCGUCUCCCUGCCCGUCUCCCUGUCCGUCUGCCUGUCCGUCGGCAGCGGAGUGUGUGUGCGUGUCCAGGUUGAAGUCUCCUAGCGUUGUGUGUGUGUGUAUUCCCGGCGCGGUGAGGAGUGUGUGUGUGUGUAUUCCCGGCGCGGUGAGGAGUGUGUGUGUGUGUGUGACAGCGUCACGCAGUCCAUUCCUCUCCUCCUCCAAUCGGAACACCUGUUCUCUCAGCAGAGCCUCUGAUUGGGCCAGCCCCUCCACCUGCACGUCCAGGCGACACACACGAGCCUGGGACACCUGGAGAGAAACAAAACGUGUGUUUAGUGUGUGUGUGUGUGUGUGUGUGUGUGUGUGAUGAAAAUAAUCAUGGCCUCUAAACCCUCAAGCUGCAUACUGGACCCUAUUCCAACUAAACUAGUGAAAGAGCUGCUUCCUGUGCUUGGCCCUCCUAUGUUGAACAUAAUAAACGGCUCUCUAUCCACCGGAUGUUUACCAAGCUCACUAAAAGUGGCAGUAAUAAAGCCUCUCUUGAAAAAGCCGAAUCUUGAUCCAGAAAUU
RNAcentral lists this long non-coding RNA (1436 nucleotides) under Salmo salar (Atlantic salmon). RNAcentral describes it as "lncRNA (ENSSSAG00000116902.1)". The record is from RNAcentral. Lineage: Eukaryota; Metazoa; Chordata; Actinopteri; Salmoniformes; Salmonidae.